This 370-nucleotide ribosomal RNA is filed under the name uncultured organism. Its description in RNAcentral is "bacterial SSU rRNA". It matches the Rfam family "Bacterial small subunit ribosomal RNA", at positions 526 to 896 of the family's 1533-position model. The record is from RNAcentral.
CGUAGGGUGCGAGCGUUAAUCGGAAUUACUGGGCGUAAAGCGUGCGCAGGCGGUUUGUAAGACAGGCGUGAAAUCCCCGGGCUCAACCUGGGAACUGCGCUUGUGACUGCAAGGCUAGAGUACGGCAGAGGGGGUGGAAUUCCACGUGUAGCAGUGAAAUGCGUAGAGAUGUGGAGGAACACCAAUGGCGAAGGCAGCCCCCUGGGUCGAUACUGACGCUCAUGCACGAAAGCGUGGGUAGCAAACAGGAUUAGAUACCCUGGUAGUCCACGCCCUAAACGAUGUCAACUAGGUGUUGGGUGGGUAAAACCACUUAGUACCGGAGCUAACGCGUGAAGUUGACCGCCUGGGGAGUACGGCCGCAAGGUUA